CCCGGCCCUCCGAGAGCCACCGCCCGGCAGCGCUCUGCGUCCUCCUCUCUGUUCAGCGGGGUCCGACCGUCCUUUUAGAAACCAGUGAAGCUGAGACCCGAGAGAGCAGAACAGGUUCCUGCUCUCCAGUACAACCAUGAGGCAGUGUUAGGAUGUCCCCAUUCUAAGGAUCCAACACCCCAUAUUUAAAAUAUGUGGGUUUAUUCAUCAGGACACAUAAUACCCUCCCUUCCUAGCGGCAGGAAGCAGGACUAGAAAUCUCCGAUCCCUGAAAUGCUAUUGUGCCUGGAGGACAGGCCUCCUCCCUGCGGUCGUGGGGCAACAGUCUAUCCUGCAGAUGUUGGCAGUGUGUUCGACUUACCACUCCCAGGCCAUGGGGAUGGACACGGUCACACUCACGAUGAGCAGACGACACUUCCUCCCUGCACAUACAGCCCACCAUUACCAAACCACUCUGUCCCUGGAAGCACGAACCUGGCUAUUUCAGCUCUGCAGCCCAGCAGUGCCUUUCUUUCUCCACUUCCGAAGCUUCCAAUCCUCCCCAAAAGUGGCUGGAGUCUUUCCUGUCAGUGUGCCAACGUGUGAGUUCUUUAGGGAGCCCACUCUGAGUCACAGGCCAAUGUGGAAGAGCACGCGACAUGAGAGGAGUGAGCAGGGAAACGAGGACGACGCCUUCGUGGGACAGGAGCGGCAGGAGAC
RNAcentral lists this long non-coding RNA (699 nucleotides) under Heterocephalus glaber (naked mole-rat). RNAcentral describes it as "lncRNA (ENSHGLG00000031550.2)". Lineage: Eukaryota; Metazoa; Chordata; Mammalia; Rodentia; Bathyergidae. The record is from RNAcentral.